Molecule: ribosomal RNA, 504 nt
Filed under: uncultured bacterium
Lineage: Bacteria
Description: partial 16S ribosomal RNA
Rfam family: Bacterial small subunit ribosomal RNA
Source: RNAcentral
AUUGAACGCUGGCGGCAGGCCUAACACAUGCAAGUCGAACGGUAGCACAGAGAGCUUGCUCUCGGGUGACGAGUGGCGGACGGGUGAGUAAUGUCUGGGAAACUGCCCGAUGGAGGGGGAUAACUACUGGAAACGGUAGCUAAUACCGCAUAACGUCGCAAGACCAAAGUGGGGGACCUUCGGGCCUCACACCAUCGGAUGUGCCCAGAUGGGAUUAGCUAGUAGGUGGGGUAAUGGCUCACCUAGGCGACGAUCCCUAGCUGGUCUGAGAGGAUUACAAGCCACACUGGAACUGAGACACGGUCCAGUCGCCUACGGGAGGCAGCAGUGGUGAAUAUUGCACAAUGGGCGCAAGCCUGAUGCAGCCAUGCCGCGUGUAUGAAGAAGGCCUUCGGGUUGUAAAGUACUUUCAGCGGGGAGGAAGGCGGUGAAGUUAAUAACUUCACCGAUUGACGUUACCCGCAGAAGAAGCACCGGCUAACUCCGUGCCAGCCGCCGCGGUAA